GUUCAUCCACAGUGCUUACACGGCUGCGGAGUUGGCUGGCGAGGCUUGACUCGCUCUGCCAGCUCGUCUUCAUAGUCUUCCGAAAGGAAGGCCGAGAGGAAAACAGAUUCAAACUCGCUCCAGGUACUAAUGGAAGAUCAAGCAACUUCCCACCAAUCACGUGCCGUGCCAUACAGGACCGUGCGGAAGGUGGCCAAAACAUCAAGGUCAUCCAAGGGCUUGUUUUUCAGGUGUCAAGCGACGUUUAAUGGGUACAGGG
Long non-coding RNA from Onychostoma macrolepis, 259 nucleotides. RefSeq lists it as uncharacterized. The record is from RefSeq and is a predicted model, not a curated record. The transcript is spliced from 3 exons. Lineage: Eukaryota; Metazoa; Chordata; Actinopteri; Cypriniformes; Cyprinidae.